Long non-coding RNA from Canis lupus familiaris (dog), 362 nucleotides. RefSeq lists it as uncharacterized. The record is from RefSeq and is a predicted model, not a curated record. NCBI's taxonomy places the organism in Eukaryota, Metazoa, Chordata, Mammalia, Carnivora, Canidae. The transcript has 5 exons.
UAUGAAUUUAAACAUGGCUAUUUAAGAAAGGUUCAUAUUUUAAUAGCAAAAUUUAUCUGAAACCAAGUUUCCCUGGUUUGUUUAUUUGGCCUGGCAAGAGCAACAGCCACAAGGCAGACAUAUGCAAGGGACUAUGCGGAGGCCGUGGAGCAGGAGUAAUUCAGCAGAGGCAUAGCUCUCAGAUGGCUGAUGCAAUAAGUGAAGCACAAGAGAAGUACAGAAGACAGACCGCAGAUGAUGGGAUGAGAUGAUCAAAAAUUUGAAACAACCAGUCAUAUUUGGAAUUAUUCAAUGAUUCAAUCAUUUAAUGAUGAACAAUCUGAAACUUGGUAUGCGUGUUAGCCAAUGAAGAGACAGAGCAG